AUAUCAUAUAACGGCUACUGGUGGAAAGCUUAAGGUUGAGAUUGAGGUCAAGUCUCCUGCUGAUAAAUUAUGGGAAGCUAUCAGAGACUUCACCAUUCUCUAUCCCAAAGCCUUUUCUCACGAUGACAAGAGCAUUGAAGUUCUUGAGGGCGACGGCAAGGCCCCUGGCUCUGUUUGUCUCAUUGCACAUGCUGAAGGUUCACCCAAUUGUUAAGAUAUCGACUGAGAAGAUCAAAGCUGUAGAUGAUGUGAAGAAGGAGGUUACUUACAAUGUCAUUGCUGGGGAUCUCUUGAAGUACUAAAAGGUUUGCAAGGGCAUCAGAAGUCCAGAGGGAGAUGGGAGCUUGGUGAAAUGGUCAUGCGAAUAUGAAAAAGCAAGCAAUGAAAUUCCUGAUCCAAGCGUUAUCAAUGAAUUUACUGUCAAGAUCUUUAAAUAAGUCGAUGACCACAAAACCAAGACAUAGAGGCAUCUUCCUUCAGGACAGUUGUGUUUUGCCAUUGUAAAAUAAGCUUACACUAUGUAAUAGUUGGGUCAAGUUUAUGCUACUCUGUACAUUAAAUAAACUUUGUGUUCUCCUAGAGCCCAGUCAUAGUGACAAGUUAAAUAAUAAGUUGCUCUUAAGAUCGUUAAAGAUAUCUGAUUGUGGCCAAACAAAGUU
Long non-coding RNA from Mangifera indica (mango), 659 nucleotides. RefSeq lists it as uncharacterized. The record is from RefSeq and is a predicted model, not a curated record. The transcript has 2 exons. NCBI's taxonomy places the organism in Eukaryota, Viridiplantae, Streptophyta, Magnoliopsida, Sapindales, Anacardiaceae.